This 609-nucleotide long non-coding RNA is filed under the name Manacus vitellinus (golden-collared manakin). RNAcentral describes it as "lncRNA (ENSMVIG00005004881.1)". Lineage: Eukaryota; Metazoa; Chordata; Aves; Passeriformes; Pipridae. The record is from RNAcentral.
CAGGCUUUGGCAAGGCUGCAGCUCCAUCAGAUAAGAGCCUUUAACCUUAUUUCUCCAGCUUGAGCGCUCCACGAAGGGCCAUUCUGUCGUGAGCUUUUCCUUAUCCUCCCCGAGCACUUGCAGAUCAGAGUGAGACUCCACGGGCCAAGAAGAGGGGUCGCUGGCAAAGGGCAGAGGUGGAGGUGUUCAGGGCAAGCAGCCUGGGAAACGGCUUCAGCUUGGGAUAGAAGCACUCUAUCAAAAUUACCAGGAUACAUCCUGCCUUUGAUGGGGAGAUUAUUGUCUCUAAAGGGCCCAAGGAGAGGCUGGGCCUGAGGAGAAGCCCCAUGCCCUGCACAACACAUGGGGAAACUGAGGCACAAAGCCACCACAGCAUCUACCCUUCUCUGAGCCAAAACUACUCUCUUCCACUGGUGUUUCCUUGUCUACGUGAAGCACCCAAAAAGAGGUCAGGCAGACCAGAGCAGCCAGCCUGAGCAUGCAGAGGGAGCAGGAUCCCGGUUCUUGGCUGCAUCUCCUGCACAGACACCAGUGAGCAGGAUUUUCUGCCAACUCAAGCGAUGGAAGCAGCGAAUAACCCUGGCAUGCCCAGGCUCUGCACAGCCCAAC